Long non-coding RNA from Juglans regia (Persian walnut), 1023 nucleotides. RefSeq lists it as uncharacterized. NCBI's taxonomy places the organism in Eukaryota, Viridiplantae, Streptophyta, Magnoliopsida, Fagales, Juglandaceae. The record is from RefSeq and is a predicted model, not a curated record. The transcript is spliced from 3 exons.
UUCUCCAACAGAGUUAAGAAAGUUGGGAAGAUGUCCACUGACUCCAGAAUAAGCAGCACUGGUCCUAUCUAGACUUGGUUUUAAGCGUUGAACUUACAUUUAUUUGGCUGGUUCUCAUAUUUAUGGAGAAAAAUCCAGGAUGGAUUCCUUCACCAGCCUCUAUCCCAAUUUGGUCACAAAGGAAACCAUUCUAACUCCCAAUGAACAUGCACCUUUUAGAAAUUUCUCUUCUCAGGGCUCUGUGGGUUCUCUCCCAGUUUAGAUGGUUGCUUCUUAGCUCUUCUUGCCAGCAUCACCAAAGGGUCUGUGUUGUUCUACAAUGUCAUGGAGCUACAAUCACAUUGUGAGAUAGAUGCUCAUCGUGCACCUCUGGCUGCAAUUGUCGGAUGUUCCAAUGGGAUGUACAUAGCAACUGCUUCUGAACAGGGAACCAUAAUCAGAGUCCAUUUGGUUUAUGAUGCAACUAAGGUGGGAGUGGCACAACAUCCAUUCAUUAGGACUUCAUACAUGUAUCUAUGGUACUUGAUUUAUCUAUUUAAAUCAGGUUUCCAGAGGCUGCCAUUACAGAUGGUCCACAAGAAAGGCAGAAAGCACAUUGAAUCCAAUGUGGCCCUCACUUUAGAGCUCAUAAGAAAAUUAAUUACUAAAAAUUCUUCACCUCAAUCAGUAGUAUUUGAGAAAAACCUAACAAGAGAGAAUGAAAUUCGGAAGAGGGAGGAUGCUUUAUUACUGCGUGAGUAUGAAGCUCAAAAAGAAAAGGACAAACUAAUAGAGAGAGAAAAUGUUGAAGAAGCAAGAGGACGAACUUCAAAGAAGGAUAGUAGAGAAUAGGGUUGUACGUAUAUUGUUGUGUCUAUAUUGGAUUGUAUCUCCUAUAAUAGUUUUUGGUUGGUUCUAAAUGUAGAUGUAUGAUGUUAGUUUUAAAUGCAAAUUGAAUGAUCGGAUCCUUACAUGUAUGAUAUAUUAUCUAUGAAGUCGAAUUAUGACAGCUUAUAUGGAUAUUCAGUUCAAUGUACUGCAUGG